AACGAACGCUGGCGGCAUGCCUAACACAUGCAAGUCGAACGAAACCGUCGGGUCUAGUGGCGGACCUGUGCGUGACGAGUGGGAACCUGCCCUUAAGUUCGGAAUAACUCACCGAAAGGGAUGCUCAUACCGGUGAAUGUCUUCGGGCCAAAGAGUUAUCGCCUUUGGAUGGGGCCGCGUUGGAUUAGCUGGUUGGUAGGGUAAAAGCCUACCAACGACAAGAUGCAUAGCUGGUGUGAGAGGAUGCUCAGCCACGCUGGGACUGAGACACGGACUAGACUCCUACGGGAGGCAGCAGUGGGGAAUACUGGACACUGGGCGAAAGCGUGACAAAGCAAUGUCGCGUGAGUGAGGAAGGCCGUAGGGUUGCAAAGCUCUUUUACCCGGGAUGAUAAUGACAGUACCGGGAGAAUAAGCACCGGCUAACUCCGUG
This 433-nucleotide ribosomal RNA is filed under the name uncultured bacterium. RNAcentral describes it as "partial 16S ribosomal RNA". It matches the Rfam family "Bacterial small subunit ribosomal RNA", at positions 29 to 507 of the family's 1533-position model. The record is from RNAcentral.